UACGAAGGGUGCAAGCGUUACUCGGAAUUACUGGGCGUAAAGCGUGCGUAGGUGGUUCGUUAAGUCUGCCGUGAAAGCCCCGGGCUCAACCUGGGAAUGGCGGUGGAUACUGGCGGACUAGAGUGCGGUAGAGGGUGGUGGAAUUCCCGGUGUAGCAGUGAAAUGCGUAGAGAUCGGGAGGAACAUCUGUGGCGAAGGCGGCCACCUGGACCAGCACUGACACUGAGGCACGAAAGCUAGGGGAGCGAAUGGG
Molecule: ribosomal RNA, 253 nt
Filed under: uncultured bacterium
Lineage: Bacteria
Description: partial 16S ribosomal RNA
Rfam family: Bacterial small subunit ribosomal RNA
Source: RNAcentral